UACGUAGGUGGCAAGCGUUGUCCGGAUUUACUGGGCGUAAAGGGCGUGCAGGCGGUCUGUUAAGUGCAGGGUGAAAGCUCCCGGCUCAACUGGGAGAGGUCCUUGCAUACUGGCGGACUUGAGGGGGGUAGAGGAAAGUGGAAUUCCCGGUGUAGUGGUGAUAUGCGUAGAUAUCGGGAGGAACACCAGUAGCGAAGGCGGCACUCUGGGCCGGAACUGACGCUGAGGAGCGAAAGCGUGGGGAGCGAACAGG
RNAcentral lists this ribosomal RNA (253 nucleotides) under uncultured bacterium. RNAcentral describes it as "partial 16S ribosomal RNA". It matches the Rfam family "Bacterial small subunit ribosomal RNA", at positions 524 to 776 of the family's 1533-position model. The record is from RNAcentral.